Long non-coding RNA from Hyla sarda, 602 nucleotides. RefSeq lists it as uncharacterized. The transcript is spliced from 3 exons. The record is from RefSeq and is a predicted model, not a curated record. NCBI's taxonomy places the organism in Eukaryota, Metazoa, Chordata, Amphibia, Anura, Hylidae.
CACGGCAUGCAGGUUCAGAAAUACCAGGCCGUGUGCACAGAACUCUAGGCAGGAUCAUGCGGAAAGCCCACAAAACAGAUUCAUAACCCAAGAGCUCCACGGACCUUAUGUUUUUGUCUAUACCUUGCUGUCACCUGUACGAUGUUUUACGAUGUAAAGAGUGAAGAAUAAAGUUUCUGGCUACUGGAAAGUGUCAUGUAAACAGUUAGCUGUAACUGUGAAGGAGGAAACCGUGCCAAGAGAACCGUCGGGCCCCAUAGCCAAAGAGAAGGAUAACCAUGGCGGUAAGCCCUUACAUUGGAUUCCACAAGUGAAGUUGAAAGAGUCAGCGAUAGUCAGCUCCCAAGUCAAGCCUAAUUCCUGUCACGUCUCAGUCAGUCUAGUCACGUCAAGACUAUUUUACUCAAGUCUGUCAAUGUCAAGUUCAGACCAGUCAAGUCCCAUCUAUGUUGAGGAGGACUACAAGGUUCACAAGUGGUUUCCCUAACCUUGCAAUUGAGUUACAUCCCGCUCCAUGCUCAGCCAAAUCACAGAGCAAAGAAGGGGAGCAGGACAUCACCAGAAGAAGGAAGAACAACACAGGAGUGGCGACUCCUGCAGCA